Molecule: ribosomal RNA, 423 nt
Filed under: uncultured bacterium
Lineage: Bacteria
Description: bacterial SSU rRNA
Rfam family: Bacterial small subunit ribosomal RNA
Source: RNAcentral
GGAAUUUUCGGCAAUGGACGCAAGUCUGACCGAGCAACGCCGCGUGAGUGAUGAAGUUCUUCGGAACGUAAAAUUCUUUUAUUUGGAAAAAACGUAUAGUGUAGGAAAUGACAUUAUAGUGAUGGUACCAAAUGAAUAAGCCCCGGCUAACUAUGUGCCAGCAGCCGCGGUAAUACAUAGGGGGCGAGCGUUAUCCGGAUUUAUUGGGCGUAAAGGGUGCGUAGGCGGUAAGUUAAGUCUAAGGUUAAAGUGCAGGGCUCAACCCUGUGAUGCCUUAGAGACUGGUUUACUUGAGUUUGGUAGAGGUAAGUGGAACUCCAUGUGUAGCGGUAAAAUGCGUAAAUAUAUGGAAGAACACCAGUGGCGAAGGCGGCUUACUGGGCCACAACUGACGCUGAGGCACGAAAGCGUGGGGAGCAAACA